AUGGGGAGCCAGGAACCCUCCGAGCCCCCGUCGCCCGGAGACGCGACGCAGAACAGCGCCCGGCCUGCGGAUCGCCACGGCCUGUUAAAACACUUCUGGGACAUUGCGAAGCCUGAGCAGGAGACGCGACUUGCGGCCACGAAGCUGCCGGAGUAUCUGCGCGCUAGGCCGAAGAUGGAGCGGCGGGGGUCUGAGAUGAAAUACACCCUGAAGCGGCUAAUCACGGGACUCGGGGUCUGGCGAGAAACAGCCCGGCCCUGCUACAGUUUGGCCCUGGCACAGCUGUUACAGUCUUUUGAAGACCUCCAUUUGUGCAGCAUCCUGCAGCAGAUACAAGAAAAAUAUGACCUGCAUCAGGUGAAGAAGGUGAGAGAGGGCCCGGGGAGGACAACUGCUCUCUUUGCAGACCUGUUCAGAGUGCUCGCCCUCUUUCAGUCAGGCUGGCUGGUGAAGGACCAGGAGGUGCUGAGGAAGUCAGUGAAGCUGCUGCAGGCCCUGGCCCAGUAUCAGAACCACUUGCAGGAGCAGCCCCAGAAAGCCCUGGUGGACAUUCUCUUCGAGGUCUCGGAGGCCAUGUUGCAGGAGAUGCUGCCAGAGGUCCUCAGCACUGACUUGGAUGCGAUGCUCAGCUGCCCUGAACAGCUGGGGCUCUUCCUCCUGGCCCAGCAGAAAGUUCCCUCUAGGCUCAAGAAGCUGGUGGGAUCCGUCAACCUAUUUUCGGAUGAGAAUGUUCCCAGGAUGGUGAACAUGCUGAAGAUGGCAGUGUCCUCAGUGAAGAAGGAAUGAAAGCUGCCUGCCGUCGCCCUGGAGCUGCUCUCUCAAGGAAGACAAGUUUCUGCAGUUCUGGAAGGGGAUGGUGGAACAGGGGCUGCUGAAGCUUCAGUUCUGGCCAGCCAGCUACCUGUGUUUCUGCCUGCUGGGCACCACCCUUCCCCUGCUGACCAAGGAACAGCUGCAGCUGGUGAUGCAGGGAGACGUGAUCCGCCAUUACAUGGAGCACAUGUGCACGGCCAAGCUCCCAAACCAGUUCAAGUUCCCUGGAGAUGGAGGAAUACAUGGACACCUUCCUAGAGGGAUGCUGGUAUGACCCUGAGCAGCAGCUGGCCGUGCUGGUGGCCUUCUCCCCCACCACCAACCACGGUCUCCCAGUGGUGCCUACCUUCUGGUGGGUCAUGCGGUUCCUGAGCUCUUGGGCCCUGCAGGGCUAUGUGGCCUGGCUGCAGGGCAUGUUUCUCUAGCCAAACCUGGACUCCUUGAUUGACUUAAGCACCAACACUGAAGAAAGCUCAGCACUGCACGUGCCUGAGCGAGCUGUGUUCUGGCUGCGGAAAUGGAUCAUCCUCAGACUGGUGAGCCUUGUGGAGAUGGAGGAGGCCUUGACGGAGGAGGUGGCCAGGUUUUUGUUUGUUCACUCGUUCUUUGUCACAAAGAAGCCCACAUCCCAGAUCCCUGAGACAAGGCGGCAGCUCUCCCUCCCUUUGGAACGCCAGGUCCAAGAGACCAUCAGCAGCACCUUCUUCAGUCUGCUGCAGACCCUUAGCACACAGUUCAAGCUGGCACCGGAGCAGACCUGGGGCGGGCAGCCCUGGACCUACCACCUGGUACAUUUUGCAGACCUGCUACUAAAUCACAGCCACAGCAUGAGCCCCAUGACACCCCUCACUGUGCAGCAGCGCCAGGCCUGGGACGGGAUGCUGCAGACUCUGAAGGAGCUGGAGGCCCCUCCUCAGAACCCAGGGCUGCCACCUUCCAACACCUUCUGCUGCUCAUGGUCAUCUACCUCUUCAAGUCCCCUACAGAGAGCUGUGACCUGCUGGGUGACAUCCAGACCUACAUCAGAAACAGCCUGGGAGAGAGACGCCAUGGGAGCCACACCAAGGCCAUUGAUCCCCAGGAGCCACCAUGGGUAGAGGUGCUGGUGGAGAUCCUGCUGGCCCAGCCCAGCCACCUCAUGUGUCAAGUGGCCCAGAGCAUGUUCGACCACGUCUGCUCUCACCUGACCCCGCGUGCCCGCUGAUUCUGGAUGUGAGUGCUGAACCCGGAGAUCAGUGAGGGUGAGGAUGACCAUGUGGUGGUGAUGGACGAGUCUGACGAGUGGUGGCUGAAGGCUGCAGAGGACAAGAGCGAGGACAGCGAGGAGAGCAGAGGCUCAGAGAGUAAAGAUGAGAGCGAUGUUGGGGAGAGCGAGGAGAAGGAGGAGUGUGACAGGACGUGGACCAGGGCUUCUGGGUACAGCUGAUGAGUGUGCUGCAGGCUGCGAAGGCGCUGGGUGGAGUGGAAAGUGAGGAUGAGGAGGAGCUGGGGGAUGAGGCCAUGAUGGUCCUGGACCAGAACCACUCCAGCCUCUUUGCUGAGCAGAAGCUGUGGAUCCAGGCCCGGCAGGACAAGAAGAGCAAACCACAGAAGGAGAAGGUGCUGCAGUGUGACUUCCAGAUUUGGGUGCUGGACCUGGUGGAGGUGCUGGUGACCAAGCAGCGAACGUCCUGAUCCUGGAGCUGCUGGAGCCACUGCUGGGAAUCAUUCAGUGCAGCCUGCGCAGCAGCAGCUCUAAGCAGGAGCAGGACCUCCUGCACAAGAUGGUGUACAUCUUCACGCACCACCUGUGCCGUGGCCGUCACUACUGCCAUGACUUGGGUGACCACGUCGAGGCCCUGCAUGGCCAGGUGGUGCGGCUGGUGGAGCAGGCUGGCCGCCAGCUCAAUUCCACCACCCUCUACCACUUAAAUGCCUCCAUCUACCUGCUCUGAAUCUUGAAGGGCAGCACUGUGUGCAUGAGACGCAGGAGGAGUUGGAGGCUGGCACCGACCCCAGCCCCAUGUCCGAGGGCUCGCAGGCUGCUGGCUGCCUGGACUUGAACCUCACAAUGCAUGUCUACUCAUCAGCACUGAGCUCCUUCCUGACCAAGUGCCACAGCCCCCUCACGGUCCCCAUGUUCUUCAGCCUCUUCUCCUGGCACCCAGUGCUCUGUAAGAGCCUGCUCCCCAUCCUGGUCUAGCACGUCACAAGCCCAGGGUGGCCCCGCCAGCCCACCUGCCUGCUGCUCCUGUCCAUGCGGGAGGUGAGGUCGUGCUUCCAGGACUCGGAGCAGAAGCAGCUGAUCAGCCAGGUCCUGACAAAGGUCAUGGAGCCCUCCAGAGUACCUCAGCCUGGCCACCCCUCCCCAGAACCUGUGCAGACCAAGGCAGAGCACCAGCAGGUGCUGUCCUCCCUGGAGCUGCUCAGUACUGUCUUCAGGACCUGUAAACAUGAGAAGCUGACCUUGGACCUGACAGUGCUCUUGGGCAUGCUGCAGGGGCAGCAGCAGGGCCUGAGGCAGGGGGUGCACUCCACCGGCUCCAGUUGCCUACUUGACCUCUACUGGCAGGCCAUGAAAACCCUGGGAGUCAGGCACCCCAAGUUGGAGAACGAUACCAAGGAGAUCCCCAGUGCCACCCAGAGCCCCGUCAGCAGGAAGCAGAAAAAGGGAUUCUUGCCAGAGACAAUCACAAGAAACAUGUCAGAGGAUGGCACACUUGCAGCCACUGGUGGGAGCCAGCUGGCACAUGCAGCAAGAGGAACAGGAUGAAGGGCAAGGUCUAGACCAGGUGAACGGGAUGCCUACCACCAAGGGCCCAGCCCCUGGUGCUCCCACCCUGAGCCCCAACACUGCUGCCAAGUCCACAAAACUGCAGAAGAAAAACCGGAAGCUGUCCAAGGUGAAUGGAGCUCCCAACUCCCAUGAAGCCUGCAGGCCAAAAGCAGCACCACGAGGCCAUUCUCAAAAAGGGGGUCUUGGACAAAUCACCACCAUCCACACUGGCACAGAAAAAGGCAAGGCCACCUUUGGUCAUCAGGAGCCCCAGCCUGCUCCAGAGUGGGACCAAGAAGAAAACGCAGCUGAGGAAGGUGGGGAAGCCGAGUGCAGGCCACCCUCAGCCUCCAUCUGCCCAAUAAUCCUGUUUUUCCACCAUGAUUUGAAUAUGCAAGCUAUUUCUAAGGCUCUGUCCCCAGGGAGGGUGUCACUGCCUGCCCAGGCAUCCUGCUCUGGUAAGCACAGCCCAAGCCGUUCCUGCAGGGGUCCCAGGAUGCAGAGACACCCCCCCCCCCGGUUCUAGGCUGGGACUGUGGCUUCAGGGCCCUGUGGGCCAGGUCCAGGGCUCUGGGGUUCACCUGGGUGGGUACAGGGUGACAUGCUGGCUGCAGGCUGGGUACAGGU
Callithrix jacchus (white-tufted-ear marmoset) is the source of this 4195-nucleotide non-coding RNA. The record is from RefSeq and is a predicted model, not a curated record. NCBI's taxonomy places the organism in Eukaryota, Metazoa, Chordata, Mammalia, Primates, Cebidae.